Oryzias melastigma (Indian medaka) is the source of this 6423-nucleotide RNA transcript. It is a transcript of the gene named zinc finger protein 648, with no coding region annotated. The transcript is spliced from 3 exons. NCBI's taxonomy places the organism in Eukaryota, Metazoa, Chordata, Actinopteri, Beloniformes, Adrianichthyidae. The record is from RefSeq and is a predicted model, not a curated record.
AGCCCUGCUUCUUACCUUCUGCCCUGGUUGUUUUGCAGCUAAUUCAGUAAUUGCUGCUCACCUGAUCAGGUGUGUUCAGUCAGUCAGAAGCUAAGCUCAGACAAUCCAGCUAAUCAGGAAUUGCUGAAGCUGUAAAACAAGCAGGGUAUUAGCUAUGAGAAACAAGGUUAAUGACGGCUGAUUUAGAGGCGAUUUCACCACUGACUUUAUGUUUUAAAAUCACACGUCCUUUAACAAUAACUCCACCUGCCUCAGAUGAGAGGACCAUUUCCAGCGUGGAAUGCUGCGAAUGACUCACUUAAUUUCAUACAAAGUAAUUUAUUUGCUUUGCUUAUUGUAUGUACUUUUUCUUCAUUGUUGAAGGUAAAUGGUAUAUCCUCAUGAAGCAUUAUUGCCUUCCUUGAAGGCCCAAAGUGCUUUAUGUUCACAGUCCCAUUUACCUACAUUGGACAGGCAAGGCAGAAAUGCAAUCUUCCAAUCAGAGGUCAACCGCUCUCGCUCCAUGGCCGCCAGAUACUAGACCCAUGGUUGCUCAACUUCUUCAAUGACCUAUGACCAAUAGAAUCAAAAUCCUUCAACAGAUUACAAAUAUUUUUCUGUCAUUUCUGGUGAAGGAUUAUCCAUUUACGUCACACAUUGUGAUAUUGUUUUUGUUUUUUUUUCAUUUUUAUCGUGUAACUGAGAAACACAUUGUCAAUAAUUUCAGCUAAUUGACAGGCUGUGUCUUUAAUAUGUAUAAAUAAUGGGUAGAAACUUUUCAGGUCUGUGGUUCUCUGAGGUCUAUUGUUUAUAUUUGUACACAUAUUAACCUUAACUGCAGAACUUUAAACUGAUUUCAUUUUAACAUUGGUGUCUUCUGGAGAUUUCUCUUUUGUUUUGUUAGUCUCACUGAAACAGAGGAAAGUUAUGUAUGUGUUAUUAGAAUGCAUCACUGUGUAAUGGCCAAACUUUGAAAUAUCUUGCUUGUUAGUAAACAGUGCCAUCUAUUGGUGCUAUGAGAAUUUGCCUGGUAUUUGUUUUUAGCACUGUCACACAAAAGUCUUCACAUUGAAACCGUGUCACAGCCACUUUAUACUCCUUCAUUGUUCUUUUCAUUUUUCUUCUUUUUUUUUUUUUUGAUCAAUCAAUUCUUUUCAUGGAAGAUUGCAGGUUUGCUUCCCACUCAUGUGUCAAAGUGUCUUUGGGUUAGACACUGACUCCCACAUUGCUCCUGGUGGUUAUAGUUUGGUCCCAGGGUUCAGAAGAGCAUGUGUGAAUGGGACUUUAAAGCACUUUGGGCCUUCUAAGGAGGUAUAGUAACGUGCUAUAUAGAUGUACGCCAUUUACCAUUUUCUCUUAUCAUCUUCCCCUCUUACUACAGGGCAGCAUCUCAGCAGAGAAGUCCAGACCUCCAUCUAUUUAAGAAAACUCCAAGGUGCUCCUAGUCCAGCCAAAAGAGCAUCCUGGCUCCUCCCCAGAGCCUCCUCCAAGUGUGACAGGUCUGGAAUGGAUCCUCACAGAGGAGUCAUCUCAACUGGCCUACAGUGUGGAGGAGUAGCAGCUCUCCUCCAGGAUACCUGAGCUCCUCGCCAUAACUCUAAAACUCAUUUCAACAGUUUGCUUUUUGGAGCUUCUCCUUUCUUACGGGAUCCAAAGCUCCUGAACAAAGUGCUGUUGAAGUUACAAACUCAGUUAAUGGAGAAUUGAGAAGUGUGUCUUUUGGAUCAGCUUCUUCUUUAUUUUACCGGAUCGUUCCAGGAUUCUUGCAGGCGCUGCACCUCUCCACCUGUCAGUCUCAAGCUCCACCUUUCCUUCAUUUGUGAACAGAACCUACAUGAGAUAAAAACAAAUAAAAGUAGAAAUAGAGGAAGUUCUUAGACAAUGAGCUCUUAGACAAUGAGCUAAAAUGACUUUUGUUUAAUUAUAUUUUAACAAAAUACACACACAAAAAAAUUGCCUUUCAUUUGCUUGGACAGAAAAAUUGAUUAUUUCCAUCCAUUCAUCCAUCUUCUUCAGCUCAUGUGGACCGGGUCAUGGGGCAGCAUUCUAAGCAAUUUUUCUAAAUGUCCCUCUCCCCGGUCACUUCCUCCAGCUCCUGUGGGAGGACCCUGAGGCAUUCCCAGGCCAGUCUCUCCAGCGUGUCCUGGCUCUUCCCUGGGGCCUCCGUCCAGGAACACCUCUCCAGGGAAGCGUGCAAGAGGCAUCCGGAUCAGAUGCCUGAGCCACCUCAUCUGGCUCCUCUGAAUGUAGAGGAGAAGCGGCUCUACUUCAUGCUCUUUCUGGGUGACCAAACUUCUCAUCCUAUCUCUAAGGGAGAGCCCAGCAACCCUCCGGAGGAAGCUCAUUUCAGCUGCUCGUAGACGGGACAUUGUUCUUCAGUCAUGAUCCAGAGCUCAUGACAAUAGGUGUGUACUAGAAUGAAGAUCCACUGGUAAAUUGACAGCUUUGAUUUCUGGUUCAGCUCUCUCCACAACAGACCGGUGCAGCGACCGCAUAACGGCUAAUGCUGGUCCAAUCCGCCUGUCGAUCUCACAUUCCGAUGAACAAAACCCUAAGAAAUUUAAACUCCUCCACCUGAGGCAGGAGCACUCCACCCACCGAGAGAGGGCAAACUACUAAUUUUUGUAUUUAUUUUAACUUACUGCAGAAAGAUUUGCUUGAUUUUACUUGAAAGGUUAGUUUCUUGGAAUCAAGGCAUAGAACUUAAACAAUACAAAGAAGCUUCAGUGUAAGAGCUCCUGACAAGUGGAAUCAUUUGAUUAAAGAAAGAAAGGUGGCAAAACCCAAUGACACAUUUAAAGAUAUAAUCUACUUAUUUUAGACAAAAAAUAUGUCAAGAAACAUUUGAUUUAUUUAUAAAUGUAUUUAUUAUAUACAGUAGUUUUGUACCCGACUGGAAUCAUAUGGCACUAAGUCUUUCAGAAUAGUGCUGUGAAAGAAGCAAGAUUUGCAAGAUUUUCACCACUUUGACAUUUCCCAUCAAGCCUCUCUCAACUGUAGGUGGCGGACAUGUGCUAGUAAACCGUAGAAAAAGAGAAAGAAGCCCCUCCCUGCUCAUCUAAUGUGAACAUCAGGGGCUAAAAGUGCAUUCAAGAACCCACACUUAGUCAGUUCUUGAACACGCCACACAUGUCCAACGUCAUGGUAGCUUUAGUGUUGACCCUUGAAUGAUUGAAAAUCAAAAAAUUUCAAUGCCUUCAUAUUUUACACUCUAGACAGUUGAGGGCUGUACAGUGGCGUACGCAGUACUAGGCGUGCAGAGUAAUCAAACAUGCUUCAUUGGUUAAUUGAUAAGUUGCCCUAGUUGUAAAUUUGGUUAUGUGGCCAUGUGAUAGACUAGCAGCUUGUCCAGGGUGAACCCCACUUCUGCCCUGGAUCCAGCAACCCCAUAACCCCAAAAAUAAUUCAGCCAGUUAGCAAGAUGGAUGGAUGGACAUCGUGUCAACUGUUUUGAUCUGGUUCCCUCAGAUGAUCUAAGAGUGUUUCAUCAGGACUCUGCUGCAGUGGAAUGCUGACUGUCACAAAAAUGCUUUGCAUCAUGUUCUGCUUCCCCGAUGACAGAUGACGCCCUCCUGUGUUCUUGCAGUCAUUUUGGUCAUGUUUCCUCCAUGUGUGGAUAAUGAACCCACAGUGGUUCUCUGGAGUUAACGUUGAAGAAACGUAACUGUAACUUUGAUCGUUCUUAAGUUUCUUCAGAUGCAGUUAAAGAGUCAGAGCUUUUACAACUGAUUGACAGUCAUACUCAUAGGAUUCCUGCAUCCAACAGGUUUGAACUGCAUGGAAAGAAACUGCUGUACUCUCUCCGGUUGGAACAUCGACUUCUUUAAGUUGUUUGCGUGACAUUUCUUUGACACAAAUCAUUCAGUGUCAAAAAAAAAAAAAAAAAAAAAAAAACAGGAAUAGGUCAAGUACUUUCUCACAUCAUGCAUAAAUAGCACUAAGGAUGGGGGGCUCCUGUGCUCUGACACCGAUCCUGACACUGAUCAGUGUGGGGGCCGCUAGCUGUGAGCUCAUUAAAGUAGAUCGGUAAGGUGAGCCCGGCUGUGAGCUCCCUGCUGCUGACUAGCAGGAUAGGUGCUGACCCAGAGGCGCUGCUGCCAAACCCCGCCCGCCCCCCACAGUUAUUCAGGGCUCCGGCCCGCUUCAGGACAUUUCUGCUGCACCUCCAGGACUCGAGCUGCUCCGGAAUGAUGUCAAACAGGACGGCUGCUAGAAGAAGAAAGAGGAAAAUCCACGGGGGGCUAUGUGGGACCUCUUCCCCCCAAGAAGAACAUCCUCACCAGAAUGGGGGAACAGACUCUUCACCUGGGAGCAGCUCGCCUGCACAGAGUGACAGUGCAAUCCUGUAUCUGAAUCCUCAGACACCAGACUGCACGCUGCUGGAGAGGUUUGCUGAGCUUUCAUCAACUGAAACAAACGCUGUGGAUGAGUCUGAAGAGCGGCGUGAGAAGGGGAAGCAACAUACCCUCAAACAAAGACGCAACGCUUCUCUGAAUCCUGAUGACCCCAAGGACAUGGAGAGAAGUUCCUUGGCUGAAGUCCAGGGGAAUUCCAUCAGUUCUUCCGUGAAGAACGUGCUUGAGAAGUCUGAAGAUGACAAAAUCAACCGACUCUUGGUUGCCAUGAAAAAGCGCGGUGCAGUAGACACGCAAGAUCGACCCUUCAAGUGCACCCACUGCCCCUGGGCCUUCAAGAAGCUGUGCAACCUCCAGAGUCACCUGCAGACCCACUCCGGCCUCAAGCCGCACGUGUGUGACAUCUGCGGCAAAGCAUACUCCCACCAGGGUACGCUGCAGCAGCACAAGCGGCUGCACACAGGGGAGCGGCCGUACCGCUGCCCCUUCUGCGCCAAAUCCUACGUCUGGUCUUCUGACUACCGCAAACACAUCCGCACUCACACGGGGGAGAAGCCCUACAACUGCGCCACCUGUGGCAAGGACUUCAUUCGCUCCUCCGACCUGCGCAAACAUGAGCGCAACAUGCACACAAACGACAAGCCGUUCCCGUGCGCACGUUGCGGCAGGACCUUUAACAAGCCACUAUCCCUGCAGCGCCAUGAGCGCACGCACUUGGGGGAGCGACCUUUCGCAUGUCCGGACUGCGGGAAGACCUUCACGCUCGCUAGCCGCAUGGCGGAGCAUCAGAAAGCGCACAAGGGCGUGCGCCCGUAUGUGUGCACGGUGUGCUCCAAGACUUUUACCAAGUCCUCCAAUCUGGCGGAGCACGAGGCCAUCCACAGCGGCCUGCGACCCUUCACUUGCACGGACUGCGGUGCCGCCUUUGCCGCCGCAUCCCGCCUGGUCCGGCACCGGUUCGUGCACGUGGACGAGAAGCCACACCGAUGCUCCGCGUGCAGCCGGAACUUCAGCCAGCUUGACCGUCUGCAGCUGCACGAGGAGCAGAGCUGUGCGGGACGCAUCUUUGUCUGCGGGAGCUGCGACAGAGCCUUUCGAGGAGCAUCCAAGCUAGCAGAGCACGUGCUCACGCAUGUGCGUGAACCCAUAGAGACAUGCUAAAAGCAGACUAUGGCAAGCAAAAGGCAUCAUAAAUCAUCCUGGGACAACACAAGACUGUGUAAAAACUACACCUGACUGCACAGCUGCAUUACAACCACUGCGCGGCGUUAUGCCAGCUGUAACUCUCACCUUCCUGUUGAGUUCCUGUAAGCGAGCAAGAAGAGGUACAAGAAGUUUCCAUCAGCGCAACACUGACACUGGAGCUGACAGCUGAAACCUUGAGGGGGGGGUUCUUUUAGAAAGAAUGUAAAUGACCCUAAUGAGACGCAACACUGCGCUACAGUGCAUGUGGAGGGCUGGCUAAGCUGCUCUGACACGAACCUCGCAGGACGCACUGUCCCACCAAGACUUGGCAUCCAAAUAAGACACCCCCCCCCCCCCCCCACAACAACAACAUGACUGAACUUGAAUGAAUGAAAGUUUUGGAAGAUGAUGAUGCAGUUUGAUGAAAUAACUUGAAUCCUGCCACAUGUGUUCAGUCAUGAGAACAGACUGUGAAACAGACACUAACGUUUCUAAGAAACUUUCCUUUGUUACAACAGUUAUCAGGAGUAGAGGAUCUGCAGGUGAAAUACUUUGGAGUGGGAACAAUCCAUGUCAAUCCUCUAACAAAGAAAGUACUGUCCGAAACUCACAAAUGGUCCAUAGAAAAAGCAUACAUCAAUCAACAAACCCAGGUUCUCCCCAUUAAAGGGGAGCUUGACAGGUAAACGUGUAAGAAAAACGCAGAGCUGGCACACCUGAGUGACAGGAGCUCUCCAACAACUUAAAUGUUGCUGUCAGAAGACUUUAUCAGAGACAGCUGUCUACUUCUACAAAUUGGAAAAGUGAAAUAGCAAAACUCUAAAGUUACUCUGCAGUAAUUAGAACAAAUCAGAUUCCACUUCAAAGACCCAGUCAGAUGAAAAAACGUAAAAUUGCAAAAAAA